UAGGAACCUGCCUGGUAGUGGGGGAUAACGUUCCGAAAGGAACGCUAAUACCGCGUACGUCCUACGGGAGAAAGCAGGGGACCUUCGGGCCUUGCGCUAUCAGAUGAGCCUAGGUCGGAUUAGCUAGUUGGUGAGGUAAUGGCUCACCAAGGCGACGAUCCGUAACUGGUCUGAGAGGAUGAUCAGUCACACUGGAACUGAGACACGGUCCAGACUCCUACGGGAGGCAGCAGUGGGGAAUAUUGGACAAUGGGCGAAAGCCUGAUCCAGCCAUGCCGCGUGUGUGAAGAAGGUCUUCGGAUUGUAAAGCACUUUAAGUUGGGAGGAAGGGCAUUAACCUAAUACGUUAGUGUUUUGACGUUACCGACAGAAUAAGCAC
Molecule: ribosomal RNA, 379 nt
Filed under: uncultured bacterium
Lineage: Bacteria
Description: bacterial SSU rRNA
Rfam family: Bacterial small subunit ribosomal RNA
Source: RNAcentral